This is a small nucleolar RNA of Alligator mississippiensis (American alligator), 91 nucleotides long. The record is from Rfam. NCBI's taxonomy places the organism in Eukaryota, Metazoa, Chordata, Crocodylia, Alligatoridae.
GGUCCCCAAUGAUGUCAGCACUGGGCGCUGAGCUCCUGUGACGAUGGCAGUGCCUCCUGGGGAUUUGACACCCUGGAGGACUGAGGGGACC